AUACGAAGGGUGCAAGCGUUACUCGGAAUUACUGGGCGUAAAGCGUGCGUAGGUGGUUGUUUAAGUCUGUCGUGAAAGCCCUGGGCUUAACCUGGGAAUGGCGAUGGAAACUGGGCGACUAGAGUGUGGCAGAGGGUAGUGGAAUUCCUGGUGUAGCAGUGAAAUGCGUAGAGAUCAGGAGGAACAUCCGUGGCGAAGGCGACUGCCUGGGCCAACACUGACACUGAGGCACGAAAGCGUGGGGAGCAAACAGGAGUAGAUACCCUGGUAGUCCACGCCCUAAACGAUGCGAACUGGAUGUUGGGUGCAAUUUGGCACGCAGUAUCGAAGCUAACGCGUUAAGUUCGCCGCCUGGGGAGUACGGUCGCAAGACUGAAACUCAAAGGAAUUGGCGGGG
This 397-nucleotide ribosomal RNA is filed under the name uncultured bacterium. Its description in RNAcentral is "partial 16S ribosomal RNA". It matches the Rfam family "Bacterial small subunit ribosomal RNA", at positions 523 to 918 of the family's 1533-position model. The record is from RNAcentral.